GAAGGAGCGGCACGGUGGUGGUGGCGGUGAUGGUGGUGGUGGAAAGAUUUUGUUCAAGCAUGUUGGCACCUCACUGGCAAAUACUUGCUCUAUGACCUCAGGCGCUCUGCAGCCUCCUUCCCAUGUCUGCACAAUGGAGGAAUGCAACUCCAGGACCUCUACUCUGCUUUCUCCCCCAAGGGACCGGAGACUGUCUAGGCUACGCACUAUAGUGAACUACUUAGCAACAUAUGCUGUUUGCAAUUAUCAAAGUCAUUUGACCUCCAUCCUUCCAGUUGUUCCUUACAACUCUCUCUGAAGAAUUAUAUAUAUUAUUAUGUCCCAUUUUAUAGAUGGGAACCUGAGGCCCAGAGACCCCAAGUCAUAUGUAUAAUAAAUAAGCAGUAC
Molecule: long non-coding RNA, 387 nt
Organism: Manis pentadactyla (Chinese pangolin)
Lineage: Eukaryota; Metazoa; Chordata; Mammalia; Pholidota; Manidae
Exons: 3
Source: RefSeq, a predicted model, not a curated record